RNAcentral lists this ribosomal RNA (652 nucleotides) under Acanthothelphusa lirrangensis. RNAcentral describes it as "SSU rRNA". It matches the Rfam family "Eukaryotic small subunit ribosomal RNA", at positions 685 to 1332 of the family's 1831-position model. Lineage: Eukaryota; Metazoa; Arthropoda; Malacostraca; Decapoda; Potamonautidae. The record is from RNAcentral.
CAGCCGCAACAGCCCGCUGGCUCGCACGGGGUGCUCUUCACCGAGUGUCCCGCGUGGCCGGCAGAGUUUACUUUGAAAAAAUUAGAGUGCUCAAAGCAGGCUACACUGACAGCCUGAAUGCCUAUGCAUGGAAUAAUGGAAUAGGACCUCGGUUCUAUUUUGUCGGUUUUCUGAACCCGAGGUAAUGACUAAUAGGAACAGGCGGGGGCAUUCGUAUUGCGACGCUAGAGGUGAAAUUCUUGGACCGUCGCAAGACGAACUACUGCGAAAGCAUUUGCCAAGGAUGUUUUCAUUAAUCAAGAACGAAAGUUAGAGGUUCGAAGGCGAUCAGAUACCGCCCUAGUUCUAACCAUAAACGAUGCUGACCAGCGAUCCGCCGGCGUUAUUCCCAUGACCCGGCGGGCAGCUUCCGGGAAACCAAAGUCUUUGGGUUCCGGGGGAAGUAUGGUUGCAAAGCUGAAACUUAAAGGAAUUGACGGAAGGGCACCACCAGGAGUGGAGCCUGCGGCUUAAUUUGACUCAACACGGGGAACCUCACCAGGCCCAGACACCGGAAGGAUUGACAGAUUGAGAGCUCUUUCUCGAUUCNGUGGGUGGUGGUGCAUGGCCGUUCUUANUUGGUGGANCNAUUUGUCUGGUUAAUUCCNAUAAC